Molecule: long non-coding RNA, 1406 nt
Filed under: Olea europaea subsp. europaea
Lineage: Eukaryota; Viridiplantae; Streptophyta; Magnoliopsida; Lamiales; Oleaceae
Source: RNAcentral
AUUUUUACACAAAAUUGAAUAUUGUAAGUAAUUUUUUUUAAUUAUAAAGUAAUUUUUUAGUAUUGAAUUUUUGUUUACAAGUUAUCUUAAACAUGUGGAUUGAGAAUAAUUAUUUAGCAGAUAGUAAAAGUGGAAGAAAAUUUGAAUAACGGCCCAAAAACCAAUGAUUUGAAGGGUUGAGAAAUACACCCCAAUUACAUUGCAUUGAUUUUGAAUUGUUAAAAAAGGAACAAGCACCUGUUUCAAAGGUCAAAAUCGAUGAAAAAACUCUCAAGUAGGCCCUUAAGUUUAAAAAGAACAAGGGAGAAUAAUAGUCUCGUCGUUACAAUAAUGAUCAAGUAAAGCAUAUUAAACACCAAUAAUGAUUGCCGAGACCCAAAUACCACCUGUAUUGUAGUAUCAUUCACAAUCACAAAAGUCUACCCCAUCUCCCUCCAACCCCUUAAAAAAAAUAAAUGGUUUCUUUACUUUCAAAAAACCAGACGUAUAGAUUAUGUGACAAUGAAAAGGGUGUUUUAAUUUAAACGUGCCUAUCUUUUAAUUUCAUUGUGCAAAAACAUCCAUGCCUUUAAUUUUUUGGAAUUUACAUCACUAUUUUUAUCUUUCAUUGCGCAAAAGGUUAUUUUUAUCCAUUUUUCCAAUAAAAAAAUGAUUUUACCCUCCUAUUCAAAUAUAACAAAAAGAGAAGAAAUGAAAGGAUAAAGAACUAAUUGAAACAAUGGUCCUAAAUUUUGAAAAAAUUACAAAUUAAUCGCAAAUAUAUAAUUAAAAAUCAAAACAAAACAAAAAUGGCUCGUUUUUCUCUCUACAUUAUUCUAAUAGGCAACACAGAUGUCUGAUGCACUUUGACCCUAAAUGCUACAAUUAGUAUCCCAUACUGCUUAUGCCCACAAAUUGAUAGACCUCAAAGAAAUCUGAAGAUGCAAGCAGAUGAAUUAGUGGUGUGGAGAUGGAAAGUUACCGCGACUGUAAACCCCCGAAAAAUAUCGAGGGAGACAAGGUGAGUGGUCCUAGAAGCAGAUGGUAUGCAUAUAGAGGCGGCAUUAGGAGGAGAAGACGAAUCAAGUUUUAAUAAAGCGGAUUCAACAUCAUCCCUACCCUCAAUGCACAACGUACACUUGUUUCCUUGCAGAUGUGGAUUUUUUUUUUUUUUGUUUUUUGUUUUGAUUUUCAAUUAUAUAUUUGUGAUGAAUCUGUAAUUUUUUUAAAAAUUUGGGACUAUUGUUACAAUUAGUUCUUUAUUCCUUCAUUUCGUUUCUUUUUGUUUUAUUUGAAUAGGAGAGUAAAAUUAUUUUUUUAUUGAAAAAUGGAUGAAAAAUGAUCUUUUGCACAAUGAAAAUGUGGUAAUUGGGAUGAAAAUGUCAAAAAUUGAAAUAUAGGAACAUUUUGCAUAAUGACAAUAAAAG